CCUACGGGUGGCAGCAGUGAGGAAUAUUGGUCAAUGGACGCAAGUCUGAACCAGCCAAGUAGCGUGCAGGAUGACGGCCCUCCGGGUUGUAAACUGCUUUUAGUUGGGAAUAAAACGUUCCACGUGUGGGAUUUUGUAUGUACCAUAUGAAUAAGGAUCGGCUAACUCCGUGCCAGCAGCCGCGGUAAUACGGAGGAUCCGAGCGUUAUCCGGAUUUAUUGGGUUUAAAGGGAGCGUAGGUGGAUUGUUAAGUCAGUUGUGAAAGUUUGCGGCUCAACCGUAAAAUUGCAGUUGAAACUGGCAGUCUUGAGUACAGUAGAGGUAGGCGGAAUUCGUGGUGUAGCGGUGAAAUGCUUAGAUAUCACGAAGAACUCCGAUUGCGAAGGCAGUUCACUGGACUGCAACUGACACUGAGGCUCGAAAGUGUGGGUAUCAAACAGGAUUAGAUACCCUUGUAGUC
RNAcentral lists this ribosomal RNA (460 nucleotides) under uncultured bacterium. RNAcentral describes it as "partial 16S ribosomal RNA". It matches the Rfam family "Bacterial small subunit ribosomal RNA", at positions 338 to 795 of the family's 1533-position model. The record is from RNAcentral.